CUACGGGGGGCUGCAGUGGGGAAUAUUGCACAAUGGACGAAAAUCUGAUGCAGCAACGCCGCGUGGAGGAUGACACAUUUCGGUGCGUAAACUCCUUUUAUAUAGGAAGAUAAUGACGGUACUAUAUGAAUAAGCGCCGGCUAACUCCGUGCCAGCAGCCGCGGUAAUACGGAGGGCGCAAGCGUUACUCGGAAUCACUGGGCGUAAAGAGCGUGUAGGCGGAUAGAUAAGUCAGGAGUGAAAUCCUAUGGCUCAACCAUAGAACUGCUCUUGAAACUGUCUAUCUAGAAUAUGGGAGAGGUAGAUGGAAUUUCUGGUGUAGGGGUAAAAUCCGUAGAGAUCAGAAGGAAUACCGAUUGCGAAGGCGAUCUACUGGAACAUUAUUGACGCUGAGACGCGAAAGCGUGGGGAGCAAACAGGAUUAGAUACCCGCGUAGUC
RNAcentral lists this ribosomal RNA (439 nucleotides) under uncultured bacterium. Its description in RNAcentral is "partial 16S ribosomal RNA". It matches the Rfam family "Bacterial small subunit ribosomal RNA", at positions 339 to 795 of the family's 1533-position model. The record is from RNAcentral.